GGAUCCUCCCCAACUUCAGGAGAGUUUUUGGGUGGCUCUUGGAGACACUUUCUGUGUUUCCUCCACUCCUGUGACCUCCGUGACCUCCUUCCUCCUCCUGCUGUGCUGCUGUUGUAAUGCAGAGGAAAAAGAUGAGGUCCUCGCUUUGCCUCUCCCAUCCACUCUCAGUGCAUAGGAUGGGACACGACACUCAUGCCAAGUGGACCUACCUGAUUUACGCUGGUGGAGAUGUCACCCCUAUUGAAAGCACCGAGAAGUCAUCACCAAGAAUCACCAAGGUUGGAAAAGACCUCCAAGAUCAUCCAUUCCAACGGUAGAUCACCCGGUCCAACCAAUCAUCCAAGUCCCUUCUGGAUAGACACGGGAACAGUUACCCUCCUGCACCAGGCCAGCAUUCCUGCUCUGGACGGGCAGGUUCCUCCUUGCAGAACCCGUUGUUCACGUCUGGUCACCAGCACCCAUAGGCAGUGCGGGAACGUGGCCAAUUCUUGAUGGAAAAGAACCCCCACCGACCUGCCAACC
Long non-coding RNA from Gallus gallus (chicken), 522 nucleotides. RefSeq lists it as uncharacterized. The record is from RefSeq and is a predicted model, not a curated record. Lineage: Eukaryota; Metazoa; Chordata; Aves; Galliformes; Phasianidae. The transcript has 2 exons.